AGAGUUUGAUCAUGGCUCAGAUUGAACGCUGGCGGCAGGCCUAACACAUGCAAGUCGAGCGGUAGCACAGAAGAGCUUGCUCUUUGGGUGACGAGCGGCGGACGGGUGAGUAAUGUCUGGGAAACUGCCUGAUGGAGGGGGAUAACUACUGGAAACGGUAGCUAAUACCGCAUAACCUCGCAAGAGCAAAGAGGGGGACCUUAGGGCCUCUCGCCAUCAGAUGUGCCCAGAUGGGAUUAGCUAGUAGGUGAGGUAAUGGCUCACCUAGGCGACGAUCCCUAGCUGGUCUGAGAGGAUGACCAGCCACACUGGAACUGAGACACGGUCCAGACUCCUACGGGAGGCAGCAGUGGGGAAUAUUGCACAAUGGGCGCAAGCCUGAUGCAGCCAUGCCGCGUGUGUGAAGAAGGCCUUCGGGUUGUAAAGCACUUUCAGCGAGGAGGAAGGCGGUAAGGUUAAUAACCUUAUCGAUUGACGUUACUCGCAGAAGAAGCACCGGCUAACUCCGUGCCAGCAGCCGCGGUAAUACGGAGGGUGCAAGCGUUAAUCGGAAUGACUGGGCGUAAAGCGCACGCAGGCGGUCUGUUAAGUUGGAUGUGAAAUCCCCGGGCUUAACCUGGGAACUGCAUUCAAAACUGACAGGCUAGAGUCUUGUAGAGGGGGGUAGAAUUCCAGGUGUAGCGGUGAAAUGCGUAGAGAUCUGGAGGAAUACCGGUGGCGAAGGCGGCCCCCUGGACAAAGACUGACGCUCAGGUGCGAAAGCGUGGGGAGCAAACAGGAUUAGAUACCCUGGUAGUCCACGCUGUAAACGAUGUCGAUUUGGAGGUUGUGCCCUUGAGGCGUGGCUUCCGGAGCUAACGCGUUAAAUCGACCGCCUGGGGAGUACGGCCGCAAGGUUAAAACUCAAAUGAAUUGACGGGGGCCCGCACAAGCGGUGGAGCAUGUGGUUUAAUUCGAUGCAACGCGAAGAACCUUACCUACUCUUGACAUCCAGAGAAUUAGCUAGAGAUAGCUGAGUGCCUUCGGGAACUCUGAGACAGGUGCUGCAUGGCUGUCGUCAGCUCGUGUUGUGAAAUGUUGGGUUAAGUCCCGCAACGAGCGCAACCCUUAUCCUUUGUUGCCAGCGAUUCGGUCGGGAACUCAAAGGAGACUGCCGGUGAUAAACCGGAGGAAGGUGGGGAUGACGUCAAGUCAUCAUGGCCCUUACGAGUAGGGCUACACACGUGCUACAAUGGCGUAUACAAAGAGAAGCGACCUCGCGAGAGCAAGCGGACCUCAUAAAGUACGUCGUAGUCCGGAUUGGAGUCUGCAACUCGACUCCAUGAAGUCGGAAUCGCUAGUAAUCGUAGAUCAGAAUGCUACGGUGAAUACGUUCCCGGGCCUUGUACACACCGCCCGUCACACCAUGGGAGUGGGUUGCAAAAGAAGUAGGUAGCUUAACCUUCGGGAGGGCGCUUACCACUUUGUGAUUCAUGACUGGGGUGAAGUCGUAACAAGGUAACCGUAGGGGAACCUGCGGUUGGAUCACCU
This 1530-nucleotide ribosomal RNA is filed under the name Pectobacterium versatile. RNAcentral's name for it is "bacterial SSU rRNA". It matches the Rfam family "Bacterial small subunit ribosomal RNA". Lineage: Bacteria; Pseudomonadati; Pseudomonadota; Gammaproteobacteria; Enterobacterales; Pectobacteriaceae. The record is from RNAcentral.